Mustela erminea (ermine) is the source of this 2223-nucleotide long non-coding RNA. RefSeq lists it as uncharacterized. The record is from RefSeq and is a predicted model, not a curated record. NCBI's taxonomy places the organism in Eukaryota, Metazoa, Chordata, Mammalia, Carnivora, Mustelidae. The transcript has 3 exons.
AGACCUGAGCCAAAAUCAAGCAUUGGACAUUCAACUAACUGAGCCACCUAGAGGUCCCAUUCAGUUCCAGUUUAAAAGAUGAAAUUCAGAACCAUUGUGUUCGGAGAUCUUGUUAAGCCUUGUGCAUCACAACUUUUUGGUGUUGAGUGUCAACAUUUUAAGUUUUGACAUCAAAUUUAUUCUGUUGUUGGUGCUUAAAUUUUAAACAAAAUAAUUGCAAACAAAUUAAAUGUUUGGGAUUUUACCAUCUAUGCCCUCUGAAGUCUCUCAGAGCAGCCCCAACAAUGAUGGGAGUGUUCUUGCAGGCACCAACUACAUAGGCAUGUCCCUCUCUUCACCAGAAGUUUUGCCAGCCACCAGAUCCUUGCUACAGCUGCUGUUCUUCCCAAGGGCAGGCCAGUCUUCUUUCUGUCUCUUAUUAGUUGACAAUGCCAGUUGCAGAGAAUCAUACCAGACCACACACCAGUGUGGCAGUUGUACAAGUGGGAAAAUAGAAAGAUUACCCCACUAGUUGUGAUUAAAAAUUCUUAUGCUUAUAGAUGUAGCUUAAAAUGAUACAAGGUUCUGAAAAUGCAGAACAAGAACACAAAUAAGUUCUGUAAGAUUCUAAAAUAUAGAGUUGGAACCAAAAUAACUUUUAUAACCAUUCCUGGGAGGAUGCCCUCCCAAGUCAUUCUAGCCCACACUUAGAAAAUAAGGUUUAUUUUUAAUUUUGGUACCUUUCUGAGUUAUUCUAGGAAGAUUUUCUUAGGGAUUUUCCAGUGUCAUUAGAUGCCACAAAGUAUAUGUUGCAAAAAGCUAGAUUUCUUCUGCAUAUUCUUGAAGAUAAAUCCAGGAGACUCCAUGAGCUUACUGUUUACACCAGCCCAGGCUGGGCUGUAAGAUGUCAGAGUGAUGUUGCUUCUGGUAGUGAUGAUCCUGAACAAGUUCAGGAAAGGGGCUGUUGUAUCACAUUUUUAUUAAUAGUUGCACAUCUUGAGAUCUGAUUCAUGCCUACUCGUGGGUCUUUGAGCCCUUACUAAUUUGCGUAAGUGCUCAGAACCAUGAUAAUAUUAUUUCUUCAUUUUAUUUCAUCAUAUUUUGUAUUAAGAGAAAAGCAGCACAUAGAUUUUUGAUAAGCAAAUGUUGGCUCAACUGAUGAAGUAUAACCAGUAGCAGAAAGUUACCUGUUAGCGUAACAAUGGGGAAGAUAAAAAUACCGGUAAUUCAGUAUUUGCAGUCUUUUUCACGCAUAAUUUCAUAGUUUCUUUAAGAUUCAGAGAAGCUAAACUCUCAUCAUUUUGUCAGAUUGAAAGUAACAUUUAUUGUGAACCAAGUAUUCCUAACAUUUUCUUCAGUGGCCUAAAAGAAGGUCGUAGCUUUCAUUUUAUUUCCAAAGUGAUUCUUAGAUGGUCAGGUCCCCUGAAAAUUGAGGUGGAGAGUAUGAACUGGAGGUGAUCCAUUGUCUCCGAAACACAGUCCCAAAGGGGAAACUGAGAAGCAAAACCUUCCAUGAAGCCCUGCUCCUUUCCCUAGACUGGCUGUACUCCAUUCCUCUUCCUUGGAAGAAAGUGAAGGAAGGAAGGUGAGGAGAGAGGGAACUGGCAGUCGUGUGAUGGGACCUGUGCCACUGGCUUGGGUGAGCCAACUGUGUGUACCUCUUUCCAAACUCACAUUAAGUAAUCUGUUGAUACCUUAAAAUAAGCCACGUUGGAAGUAUUUAUAGCAUUGAAAUCGGGGGUGCUACAAAUCAGGAGCUCCCUUUCCCCACCCCAGAGACUAGGUUGCUAAGAUUUAUUAGCAUUCCACUGAUGAUCUACUGUUGAAAGGAACCUUGUAUAUCACAACCUUACCAUCAUUAUCACCUCCUGAUUAAGACUCAGUAUAGGUAAAAUUUCUAAAGACCUUGACUGUAAUCUGCCUUAUUCAAACCUUUGUGUAGUAAAGAUGCAUAGAAUUGGAAUAAUGUGCUAUUUAAGUUACUUGUGAUGCAUUUGCUUCCUAUAUAAUUUUACCUUCUUAGAUUUCUCAGUGUAUUGUUAGUUUUCUUUUCACACUCCACUCUUCUUUUUUUAAAAAAAUUCCAUUCUCCGUGAUCCUUUCUUGAUUACUCUAGUCUUCUCAGUGUAGACUCUGACAUUUUAUGAAGAACAUUCAUGUGCACGCUGCUUGAUUAGUAUGAUCUAAGCCAUCAAACGGUAUUAUAGACUCAUUUCAGCCAAGGCACUAAUUGAAUAAAUCAUU